CUUUGUUAAUGGGCAAUGUCUAUAGAAUAUUCUUAGAGGAUGUAAUCCCGGUGGCUGUCAAGAUUUUUAGUUUUGGAAUUAAUCAUACCCCAUUUUACAAUCAACGAUUUCAUCCACUGAUCCACACAUGUGAUUUUGGACCAGAGAGCAAGCUACCUACUGCCAUCAUGUUUCACCAAUUUUUUUGUUUUUUGUUUUUGCUGAUUAAAUUGAUUGUUUGUUAUAUCGUGACCAAAUGUUGCUAGAUGUAAUUAGUCUGGGAAUAUUAUUAGGGAUGCAAUCUCAUUUUGGUUAGAUCCCUGUUUAAUGAUUUUAUUUUUGCAGGUGUUUGGAUGUAAGAUCACCCCACCAAAUCACAGCGGCCAUGAAAAAAGUUCCUUCUUUGCUCUGAAGAUAUUACGGGUUCCACCGUUUUUGUAUCCCUGGACAGUGAGGUCCAGUAGAUGUUUCGCUCUCCUGUAUCCAAACUCUUGAGCGGGUCUCUGGAAUUAGCAAUGAUGGCAUGUAGCUUCUCGCCGAUUCUGCAUCAGCCCGUGAAUUUGCAAGUUACUCCGACCUCCAUCAACAUGAAGCAGAACAUUGCAACCAGCUGCACAGUCACCCUUCUUGACUGUCAUCGCCUCCCUGCACCGCCAGACUGAAGCAACCCUCUUUAGCCAUAGUUGAAUACGUAUGAAGACUAAUGUCAAAUAUUCAGUAUUCGUGUUAAUUAAAAUGAAAAGUCGCUACAUUCGUAUUUAAUGGUUUUGCUUGAAAUUUUGGAUAGGUUUAUGGGUGUUUAAGGAAAGUGAAUGCUGGAAUUUUUGUGGGAGGCGUUUUGAUAUCUUCCUAUUGGUGUAAAUUACUUCAUCCAAGUUUUUAGUUUGUGUUGUUUCUCAAUUUGGGAGUUGAUGAAAAUGAUCAA
Long non-coding RNA from Papaver somniferum (opium poppy), 904 nucleotides. RefSeq lists it as uncharacterized. The transcript has 3 exons. The record is from RefSeq and is a predicted model, not a curated record. NCBI's taxonomy places the organism in Eukaryota, Viridiplantae, Streptophyta, Magnoliopsida, Ranunculales, Papaveraceae.